Solanum pennellii is the source of this 3326-nucleotide RNA transcript. It is a transcript of the gene named light-mediated development protein DET1, with no coding region annotated. The record is from RefSeq and is a predicted model, not a curated record. The transcript has 12 exons. Lineage: Eukaryota; Viridiplantae; Streptophyta; Magnoliopsida; Solanales; Solanaceae.
ACUCACACUCAACUUUGGCCUUUCCCGAGUGUUACCGAAUAACACACCUUAGCAGCACGCUUCCAUCUAUUCAUACACCCUUUGUGCUUGUUGCCCCAUUUCUGCCGCUGCAAAUGGUGCCUGCCCAAUCUUUGCCAACCACUAAACCCAGCUCUUCCCUUCUAGACGUUAUCGAUCCUAAUUGAGCCCUCCUUUUUUCAAGCAAUUAUCUAAUUUAGUCCUACUGCGAUUUUGUAUGAUUCACAAUUUUAAUGCUGCUGAAAGCAAUUAUAUAAAAGCUGAAACGAUUUGCACUGAUGUUCAAAACCAACAAUGUUACCUCCAGGCUUUUUGAGCGCCAGAUUUGUACCCCUGCUCCUGGCACCAGCAUCCAUCGUGCCAGAAGAUUUUAUGAGAACAUUGUACCAAGUUAUACCAUAUACGAUGUUGAAUGUCCCGACCAUUCAUUUCGCAAGUUCACGGAUGACGGUCUAUAUUUUGUAAGUUUCAGCCGAAACCAUCAGGAUCUGGUUGUUUAUAGACCAACAUGGCUGACAUUUUCCUACAAAGAAGAAGAUUGUGAUACUCAUGAUCUUCCUUUGAAAGCUAGAAAGUUUGAGAGCUUCUUCACGCAGUUGUACAGUGUUACUCUUGCUUCUAGUGGGGAACUUAUAUGCAAAGAUUUCUUUCUCUAUAUGGAGAGCAACCAAUUUGGACUCUUUGCAACUUCAACUGCACAAAUUCAUGAUGCACCUCCUACUGGAGGGGCAAUUCAGGGAGUCCCUUCAGUUGAAAAAAUAACUUUCCACCUUUUGAGGUUGGAGGAUGGAGCUACACUUGACGAAAGGGUUUUCCACAAUGAUUAUGUUAAUUUGGCACAUAGCAUUGGUGCUUUCUUGUAUGAUGAUUUGCUUGCUAUAGUGUCUCUUCGUUAUCAAAGAAUACACAUCCUUCAGAUCAGAGAUUCUGGAGAUCUUGUUGAUGUACGAGCAAUUGGGGAAUUCUGCCGUGAAGAUGAUGAACUUUUUCUCAAUUCCAAUUCCCAGGUGCUUGUAAAUCAUGUUGGAAAUGGUUUUCAUCAUAGUCUGCCUGAAUUGGAAACUUCUUUCCUGAGCGGUAUAAAGCAACGGCUGCUUUCAUUUAUAUUUCGAGGUAUAUGGAAUGAAGAAACUGACCGAACCAUGGUUAGUAAGAGAAUAUUGAUUUCCAGAGUGCAGUGCCUGAAGAAGAAGUUUUACUUCCACUUUCAAGAUUACAUUGACUUGAUUAUCUGGAAGGUGCAGUUUUUGGACCGACAUCACCUGUUGAUCAAGUUUGGCAGUGUUGAUGGUGGGGUAUCCCGAAAUGCUGACAGCCAUCCUUCUUUUUUUGCUGUUUACAAUAUGGAGACUACUGAAAUUGUUGCAUUUUAUCAGAACUCAGCCGAUGAGCUUUAUUUCUUGUUCGAGCUGUUCAGCGACCAUUUUCACGUUUCAUCCAAAAGUUCAUUACAUAUGAACUUCAUGUCCUCACACUCAAACAACAUCCACGCCCUCGAGCAACUAAGGUGUACAAAGAAUAAAGCAACCAAUUUCUCUCAAUUUGUUAAGAAGAUGAUGGUUUCCUUGCCUUUUAGUUGUCAGUCUCAGAGUCCUUCCCCAUAUUUUGACCAAUCUCUCUUCAGGUUUGAUGAGAAGGUGAAAAUUACCAAAUCUGUUUUGUGAAGAUGCAAGCUUUUUUGGAAGCCUAUGAACUUUGGGAAACUGUGACUGAAGAUAAACCAUUUGCUGCUCUACCAGCAAAUCCUACCUUGGCUCAGAUCAAAUACAACAACGAAGAGAAGGCAAAGAAAUCUAAAGCCAAGUCGCUUAUGCAGAAUACUGUGGCAGAUACUGUGUUUUACAGAAUCAUGGCUUGCAAAACUGCAAAAGAGGCUUGGGAUAGGUUGAAAGAAGAAUAUCAAGGCAGUGAUAGAACACGUCAAAAUGCAAGUGUUGAACCUAAAAAGAGAGUUUGAGUCCUUGAAUAUGCAGGAGGAUGAAACUAUCAAAUCCAAGGACCUGAGCAAACUUUUAUUAGGUGAACUAAUGAGUGCUCCUCAAGCACAAGAGCAAAGGAGGACUAUAAGACGGGAAAAGUUCAUUGAAGGAGCUUUCUCUGUAAGCAAAAAGGAAAGUAACAAUUCCACCAAAAGAAUAAGGGCAAGCAUGAUGGAGGAAACAAUAGUGGAGAUGUGAAGCAGAAGUUCCCUCCUUGCAAACAUUGUAAAAGAAAUACACAUCUGGAGAAGUAUUGUUGGUGGAGAGUCGAUGCUACAUGUGGCAACUGUAAGCAGACGAGACACGUAUCCAAGGUCUGCAAAUUAAGAGCAAAGGCCUUUGGUGCUUUGCAAGCACAAGUAGCAGAAGCUGACGAUGCACAUGAAGAGCAACUAUUUGCAGUUUCAUACUUUUCAAUCAGUGAAUCCUUUGAUUCAUGGCUUCUUGACAGUGGUUGCACACAUCACUUGUGCAAUAAUGUUGAACUGUUCAAAUUCCUAGAUGAUACUUACAAAUCUAAAGUAAAAGUGGGAAACGGUGAGGCAGUAGAAGUCAAAGGCAGAGGUACAGUGUCUAUCUCAACAAUAUCAGGGAAAGCAAACAAAAUUGCCAUUUCAAGCAAAUCAAGUACGAAGAGCUAACCAGAAACUUCAGCUCAUUCAUACGGAUGUUUGCGGCCCAAUGAAAACAAAUUUGCUGAGUGGUAACAAAUAAUUUCUCCUCUUAAUUGAUGACUACACCAGAAUGUGUUGGGUUUAUUUCAUAAGACUGAAGAGUGAAGUCUGAUGUUUUUAAGCAAUUUAAAGCUUUAGUAGAAAAUCAAUGUAAUCUUAGUAUUAAGGCUUUAAGGUCUGACAAUGGAGGAGAAUACACUUCUUCUCAAUUUGUGGAGUUUUGUAAUAGCACAGGUAUUGAACGCCAAUUGACAUUACCAUACACUCCACAACAAAAUGGCGUGUCUGAAAGGAAGAACAGAAUAGUAAUGGAGAUGGCCAGAUGUCUUUUGCUCGAAAGAAAGAUCCCAAAUCAGUUUUGGGCUGAGGCAGUCAAUACCUCUGUAUAUUUGCUGAACAGAUUGCCUACUUAGGCCUUGCAGGACAUGACUCCAUAUGAAGCUUGGUGUGGGAACAAACCAUCAAUACACCAUCUCAGAAUCUUUGGGUGUAUAUGUUAUUAUCGAGUUCCAGAAACAAAAAGGAGUAAGCUGGAUAACAAGGCUCAUAAAGGCAUAUUUAUGGGCUAUAGUUCAUCCAAAGGUUACAGGAUUUUCUGUUUGAAAUCAGACAAACUAAUUCUCAGCCGAGAAGUGAAGUUUGAUGAAGCAGCUGC